CCUACGGGUGGCAGCAGUGAGGAAUAUUGGUCAAUGGACGAGAGUCUGAACCAGCCAAGUAGCGUGAAGGAUGACUGCCCUAUGGGUUGUAAACUUCUUUUAUAUGGGAAUAAAAUGUUCCACGUGUGGGAUUUUGUAUGUACCAUAUGAAUAAGGAUCGGCUAACUCCGUGCCAGCAGCCGCGGUAAUACGGAGGAUCCGAGCGUUAUCCGGAUUUAUUGGGUUUAAAGGGAGCGUAGGUGGAUUGUUAAGUCAGUUGUGAAAGUUUGCGGCUCAACCGUAAAAUUGCAGUUGAAACUGGCAGUCUUGAGUACAGUAGAGGGGGGUGGAAUUCGUGGUGUAGCGGUGAAAUGCUUAGAUAUCACGAAGAACUCCGAUUGCGAAGGCAGUUCACUGGACUGCAACUGACACUGAGGCUCGAAAGUGUGGGUAUCAAACAGGAUUAGAUACCCCAGUAGUC
This 460-nucleotide ribosomal RNA is filed under the name uncultured bacterium. RNAcentral's name for it is "partial 16S ribosomal RNA". It matches the Rfam family "Bacterial small subunit ribosomal RNA", at positions 338 to 795 of the family's 1533-position model. The record is from RNAcentral.